AGAUAAAAUCAUGAUUAUAUGUUCAACAAGGGCAAUAAUACGGUGAAAAGAAUUUUCGAAGCUUGUGCGUCCUCCGCGAUAAAAAUAUUCUUUUAUUUUUAUUAACACGAUAUUCAAUUUUCUUUUGUAGGAAAAAGGUAUCAUGAUAAACGAAAUCUAUUUAAAACUACAAACCUUGAAUAAGAACGAGCAAAGGGUGGUAGUUCUUUAACUUUCUAUGAGAAUCAACAGUGAUAGCUACCUAGGAUACCUUACCUUCUUGUCUAUAUAUCUAUCCUGUCAAGGAGGACCCACUAAACUCGGGCUGAAAGUAUGUUCGAUCAACAUAUGCUCAACAGAACAGUUUAAACGCGCAGCGCAUAAAUGUGCGCACUAUGACACAUGUACAUAUAAUAUGUGUAUGUAUAUUAAUAAGAAAAUUAAUCGAAUUGAAAUCGGAUUCGAUUAAUUAUGAGAGUAAACAGAAAGUGCCGAUCAGUGUCAUUGAUACGUCAUUUAACAAUUUCAUUGCAAUUAAGGACGCCUGUAGAACGAAUCUGUUACAUCGUUUUCCUAUUGCUUCUAAUCGUAUAAUUGUAUUUUAGAGGCCACUUUAUGCUCUUACCUUUUGUACGAUAUAAUUAUUUACUUCCAAAUUUAACAAUCACUUUAUUUACCGAAAAAGCUUAUGUUUCAAGAACACAUAUCAUAAAGAAGAAUAUUUCACCAAAUGAAAGUUAUAAUUGUAUAAUAAUACAAGUGUCUUGGAAAAUGUUUUUAAUUGAAACCUAUUAAAGAUGAAAUUAAUGGGUUAUAUUUUAAGUUUAGCUGGUACAUACUUCCUAUUUCCUUACUAUCAAAUCUUGAUAUUUAUAAAUCAAUUACAGUCCAUUGUGUCCUCACUGCUGUUGUUAUUUUUAUAUUAGAUUAUCAGUCAAAGUAAAGAGUAAAGGGUCAUAUUUACUGACAAAAGUAAAUUAAAUCGUCGUAGGUCGAACAAAAUAAUUCAGAGGCAUUGUAUCGAUGACAAAUGCAAUAAAAAAUGCUUUAAGUUUAACUUGUUCGAGUGUUCAUUUAGGUGUUAUUCAUCGAUCUAAAUCAUUUUUUUCCUUUUUAUUUCAAUAUCAUUAAAAAU
This 1114-nucleotide unclassified non-coding RNA is filed under the name Bombus terrestris (buff-tailed bumblebee). RNAcentral describes it as "misc RNA ENSBTSG00005038705.1". The record is from RNAcentral. Lineage: Eukaryota; Metazoa; Arthropoda; Insecta; Hymenoptera; Apidae.